This 149-nucleotide unclassified non-coding RNA is filed under the name uncultured fungus. Its description in RNAcentral is "sequence contains ITS1". The record is from RNAcentral. Lineage: Eukaryota; Fungi.
ACAAAAGGGAAAAAGCGGGGGCGGGUGCGAGCCCGCUUUCCGCGUUUAUCCCGAAAUCCUGUAUUCACCCCAAGUUCCUUUAAAACUUACCAAUAAAAAAACUUGCUACGAGACCACCUCUUGAUUGGUGGCGCUUAAUGCAAAAGCGA